UUGCACAUAUUCUUGCUGUUCUGACUUUGUGAUAAUCAAGACAGGCUAAAUAUUAGCUAUAAGACCAUACAUGUGUCCCUAGAGCUAGUUCUUUACUUACUUAGGUCUAGUCUUAGAAAUGAUGGUAGUUAAA
This is a small nucleolar RNA of Suncus etruscus (white-toothed pygmy shrew), 133 nucleotides long. RefSeq annotates it as small nucleolar RNA SNORA72. NCBI's taxonomy places the organism in Eukaryota, Metazoa, Chordata, Mammalia, Eulipotyphla, Soricidae. The record is from RefSeq and is a predicted model, not a curated record. The transcript has a single exon.